RNAcentral lists this long non-coding RNA (604 nucleotides) under Linum usitatissimum (flax). RNAcentral's name for it is "long non-coding RNA (LUSI_LNC002355)". The record is from RNAcentral. Lineage: Eukaryota; Viridiplantae; Streptophyta; Magnoliopsida; Malpighiales; Linaceae.
GAUUUUAAGAGACAUGAUUAUUAUAGGUUCACAGAAAUUUACAAAAAGGCUGUUAAUUCUUAGCAAGCUAGCUCAUUGUUUUCAACUCUAGAUAAUUAAUAUAACUUCACAACCUGGAUUCACUAAGGUCAAGAGCCAAAAAACGAGAUCGCAACAACACCAGUUCCUGAUUUGAAAUUCUGAAACUAAAAAGGCAAGAAAGCGCAACAAACAAACUAAGGCAACAUUUUUAUUAAUAAAUAAGGUGGUAUGAAGUUCUGACAAGCUUACGAGCCUGAAGGAAUCAUCUCUACGAAACCAAUCCAGAUUCAAUUCUCUCAUGCUGAACCAGAAUAUAUAUUGAGGAGAUGGACAGAGCAAGUGAAGGAAUCUCCACCGCGGCUUAGAUCGUCGAUCAAUCGAAAGCCUCUUCCGAGCAUUGAUUAAUGUAUCAAGAGCAGUGAGAAGAUGAUUGAUGAUCAGGUGGAAGAGAUCAGGAGUCACCUGCACGGCUUAGAUCGUCGAUCAGAUUACUCAACCUUUUGUCGAGCAUUCUUUUUACUUACAUGUUCUAUGGAUCUUCGAUAUUGGAGCCACAAUAAAAUUCUAUGAUUCUAUUUCAAAU